GAUGAACGCUCGCUACAGGCUUAACACAUGCAAGUCGAGGGGAAACGACAUCGAAAGCUUGCUUUUGAUGGGCGUCGACCGGCGCACGGGUGAGUAACGCGUAUCCAACCUGCCCAUCACUUGGGAAUAACCUUGCGAAAGUAAGACUAAUACCCAAUGAUAUCCCACGAAGGCAUCGGAAUGGGAUUAAAGAUUUAUCGGUGAUGGAUGGGGAUGCGUCUGAUUAGCUUGUUGGCGGGGUAACGGCCCACCAAGGCAACGAUCAGUAGGGGUUCUGAGAGGAAGGUCCCCCACAUUGGAACUGAGACACGGUCCAAACUCCUACGGGAGGCAGCAGUGAGGAAGAUUGGUCAAUGGGCGAGAGCCUGAACCAGCCAAGUAGCGUGCAGGAAGACGGCCCUAUGGGUUGUAAACUGCUUUUAUAAGGGAAUAAAGUGGGUCACGUGUGACUUUUUGCAUGUACCUUAUGAAUAAGGACCGGCUAAUUCCGUG
Molecule: ribosomal RNA, 492 nt
Filed under: uncultured bacterium
Lineage: Bacteria
Description: partial 16S ribosomal RNA
Rfam family: Bacterial small subunit ribosomal RNA
Source: RNAcentral